UACAGAGGGUGCGAGCGUUGUCCGGAAUCACUGGGCGUAAAGGGCGCGUAGGUGGCGCGGCAAGUCCAUGGUGAAAGCUCGAUGCUCAACAUCGAGUCGGCCACGGAGACUGCGGGGCUCGAGCACUGUAGGGGCAGAUGGAAUUCCGGGUGUAGCGGUGGAAUGCGUAGAGAUCCGGAAGAACACCGGUGGCGAAGGCGGUCUGCUGGGCAGUUGCUGACACUGAGGCGCGACAGCGUGGGGAGCAAACAGG
This 253-nucleotide ribosomal RNA is filed under the name uncultured bacterium. Its description in RNAcentral is "partial 16S ribosomal RNA". It matches the Rfam family "Bacterial small subunit ribosomal RNA", at positions 524 to 776 of the family's 1533-position model. The record is from RNAcentral.